AGAAAAAUAAGUUAAUUUUUUAAACUACCUGGUUCAUACUCAGGAAAUACUGUUAGUUUUUUCUA
Molecule: transfer RNA, 65 nt
Filed under: Cichlidogyrus halli
Lineage: Eukaryota; Metazoa; Platyhelminthes; Monogenea; Dactylogyridea; Ancyrocephalidae
Description: tRNA-Met
Source: RNAcentral